UACAGAGUGAUCAGAAUUGAGGAUUAUGAAGAAAGUUGAUAAGAUAAGUUAGCUCUAUAACAAGGGUGAUGCAUAUGGGCAGAGGAGAGAGAUUUCCAAUAAAUCUGAUUGUGCUAGGCACGGCAUCACUGGAGGAAAAAGCUAGCCAUAGUAAUUUAUAUAUAAGUAGAAGGAAAAGUUUUGUACAAGUUUUGUCUAUUUAAAGGAGGUCCCACAUCCUCAAGGAAGCAAGUCUGAAGCCCCAGUUAUUACAGGGCCAGAAGCGGAGUGUAAACACGUCGACCCGCAUGGGCAACCACUGUUGUUGGAAACACAUGGUAAUGGAGUUCUGCUCAAUAAUCUGUGUACAACUGCUACAAGAGUGAAAGGAGGAAGUACAAAGGAAAAAAUAAGGAGCAAUCGUAGUGAAGACCCAGCUUCUUUUUCUCAUCUCCCAAGCAAGUCUGGACUGGGAAUACUGUAGACUCCUGCUGACAGAACAAGAGCAGCUGUUCUGGAUAGAGAAUUGCUGGGGACACAACAAAGGAGAAAAUAAAGGCUUAAAAAAGGUGUAUAUUUAAAAAGGACUUGUCUACACAGGACAAUUAUACCAUCUUCAUUAAAUCUCUUCAGAAACUGAUGUUGUUAAGCUAAAUCAAUUUGAGACACUCUUAAACCCACUUGUGCCCCCAUAAGGAACACUCACCAAUUUUGCUACAUCAGUUUCUAAACGUAUUUAGUUAAAUCAGAACAACGUUAUGUGUAGACUAGGCUCAGACUCGCUGACUUUCUGCCCACAUGUUUUCCAACCUGUGGCAGAGAGGGA
Molecule: long non-coding RNA, 805 nt
Organism: Mauremys mutica (yellowpond turtle)
Lineage: Eukaryota; Metazoa; Chordata; Testudines; Geoemydidae
Exons: 3
Source: RefSeq, a predicted model, not a curated record